AGAUACCCUAUUAUUAAAAUUUAAAUUGAAAAAACUAAAAUAGUAGAUAAUUAUUUAUUGAAACUUAAAUAAUUUGGCGGUAUUUUAGUUCAUUUAGAGGAAUCUGUUUAAUAAUUGAUAAUCCACGAAUAAAUUUACUUAAUUUUUUAUUUUGUAUAUCGUUGUUAAAAAAAUAUUUUUUAAUAAUAAUAAUAUUUAAAAAUUUUGAUUAAAAAUUAAAUCAGAUC
This 227-nucleotide ribosomal RNA is filed under the name Spodoptera frugiperda (fall armyworm). RNAcentral's name for it is "partial small subunit ribosomal RNA". Lineage: Eukaryota; Metazoa; Arthropoda; Insecta; Lepidoptera; Noctuidae. The record is from RNAcentral.